CCGGCGAUAGCUCAGUUGGUAGAGCGGAGGGCUGUAAUUGUGGGCAGAAAUCCUUGGGUCGGUGAUUCGAAUCCGCCUCGCCGGA
RNAcentral lists this transfer RNA (85 nucleotides) under Mesocestoides corti. It matches the Rfam family "tRNA". Rfam says of the family: Transfer RNA (tRNA) molecules are approximately 80 nucleotides in length. Their secondary structure includes four short double-helical elements and three loops (D, anti-codon, and T loops). Further hydrogen bonds mediate the characteristic L-shaped molecular structure. tRNAs have two regions of fundamental functional importance: the anti-codon, which is responsible for specific mRNA codon recognition, and the 3' end, to which the tRNAs corresponding amino acid is attached (by aminoacyl-tRNA synthetases). tRNAs cope with the degeneracy of the genetic code in two manners: having more than one tRNA (with a specific anti-codon) for a particular amino acid; and 'wobble' base-pairing, i.e. permitting non-standard base-pairing at the 3rd anti-codon position. Lineage: Eukaryota; Metazoa; Platyhelminthes; Cestoda; Cyclophyllidea; Mesocestoididae. The record is from Rfam by way of RNAcentral.